Molecule: long non-coding RNA, 761 nt
Organism: Schistocerca piceifrons (Central American locust)
Lineage: Eukaryota; Metazoa; Arthropoda; Insecta; Orthoptera; Acrididae
Exons: 5
Source: RefSeq, a predicted model, not a curated record
CAAGUAACAUCACAGCCUUAGUUCUGAACCCAAAUGAAAUAAAGCAAAGUACUGUUGGUGUGCGCUGUGUCGCAAUCAGUGUUUAGUGUGUGUGCUUCGUUUUGUGUUUCGUGCAGUUUCAACUCAACUGUUCACAUGUGCCGUCGCCGUUCUCCGUGUUUUGUGCGCCGUGUCACCAAGUGAGAUGGCCCUUGAACAACAGACAAGUUCUGUCUGUGAUGCAGUUAUCAUCAAAGAAGAGACAGUGGAGGCUGAGCCACAAGUGUCUCCUAUGUGAGAGAUUGAGUAUGCAUCUGUUAAAGAAGAACCUCUGUGUCUGCAGAAAUGGGAGGAGCCAGAUGGGCACAAUAAUACACAGGACCCACUAAGCAUUGCCACAGAGGUGAGCUGGUGUUAAACAGCAGGGCUAUUUGGGAAGCAUGAUUAACUGAUAAUAGGACAAGUGAAAAAGGAAUAAGAGCAAGAUUUUCAGUAGCAAAGCAGGCUUCCUAGACAAUGCUGAAAAUGUCCAUUGGUGUCAGCAAAAAUGUAGUAAAUGAACUACUGGUGUUCCUGUAAGUCCCAUCAAGCACACCACAAACCACAUCAAAUGCAAAAAGAACCAACCAAUUCGAUCCAUUUGCAGGAGGAAGUUUGUAGCAUUCAUAUCCUGAAUGUGUAGUGUUGGAUAGUGCCACUUAUCCUUCUGUUUAGUAUACAAAUGGUCACUAACCCAAAGGAUAUCCUAAAUACUUGACCCUGCCUUUUUAUCACCAAUAGAA